GGGUGAGUAACACGUGGGUGAUCUGCCCUGCACUUCGGGAUAAGCUUGGGAAACUGGGUCUAAUACCGGAUAGGAACCAUCUUUAGUGUGGUGGUUGGAAAGUUUUUUCGGUGUAGGAUGAGCUAGCGGCCUAUCAGCUUGUUGGUGGGGUAAUGGCCUACCAAGGCGGCGACGGGUAGCCGGCCUGAGAGGGUGUACGGCCACAUUGGGACUGAGAUACGGCCCAG
RNAcentral lists this ribosomal RNA (227 nucleotides) under uncultured Actinomycetales bacterium. RNAcentral describes it as "partial 16S ribosomal RNA". It matches the Rfam family "Bacterial small subunit ribosomal RNA", at positions 104 to 334 of the family's 1533-position model. Lineage: Bacteria; Bacillati; Actinomycetota; Actinomycetes; Actinomycetales. The record is from RNAcentral.